GGUGCUGAGAAUGACACAGGUGCCCCGAAUCGCAAAGCUGUGUGCUCUGAUGUGGGAUGAAUUGCCACCAGCUGGGGGAAGCUGGAGGAUUGCCUUUCCACGGCUUCUGGAUUCAGAAAUACUGAAUCCAUGUCAGAAGAAAACAUGUUCGAAGACUUUUCAGCCUCCCUCUGUCUGAUGGAACAACGUGUGACCGAGCACAGCUAGUGCCUUGUAGGAGCGAUGACGUGCUUGGGAACAAGUGACUUUCUGCAUCGUGUGCCACGGGCUGUUGACACAGGAUCACUGAUGUACCCUGCUGAUGGAUCCCAUGCUUUUCCCUGCAGACUGUGGCACAGCUCUGUGUUAUGUUCAGAUCUGCCAGUAAGAUUACCAGGAGGCAAGUUAAUGCAGCAGGAGGGGAGACCUCAGAUGGGCUGGUACAGCACAUCCCAAACUUGCCCUGCGAUGAAAGGCUGGGGACCUCUGGAUGUCAGCAUCUGGGGCCUGCCUGCAGGUGCUGGGAUGGUUUGGGACAGCUGUGCAGGUCCUCUGGCUGAGCCCCCAAUGGAGCAGAGAGCUCUGAAGCACACCCCUGAGAGCAGAGAGAUGCUGAGACUAUUUCUGUUCUGAUGGGACUUCUCUAGAAUUCCCUGUGGUUAUGGUUCUGCCUUAAUUAUCCCAAAUCUUGAUGCCAUAUGUUAAUUUCCGAGUGCUUUGCUCGAGAGAAGAGCCCAGCAUUUCCCUAUAGGUUCUCACUUCAUUAAUGUAUCAUCAGCCCAUAACAGAGCAUUCCCUGCUGUUAAAGCAGCCCCAAGACCAAGAUAAAACUUCUUGUGGACACUGGGAGGCCUGAGCCAAGACCCCGAGGAGCCCACAGCUGCCUUCCUGUUGAGAAAUCUGAGAUCGGAGAUGGCCAUCUCUCUGCAAACCCCUGUUUUUCCUUCACCUUUUCCUUUUUUUUCCUUUGUGUUUAAAAGAAUGAUAUAUCUAUUCCUUUGUAUAGAGGAAAAUUCCUGCACACCUAGCUUCUCCUGUGUGUGUGUGUGUGUGUGGUGCUUUCACAUGGCUCAUUUCAACCUGGCUUAUUUUGGUGUUUCCAGGUCAGAAGCAGGAGGACAUCACCGCCCCCGGUCCCUAUUAGCGAGGGCCUUGUUGGCCAUAACAGAGGAUGCCUAAGGCAUCCUUCCACCUCUCCCACGCCAACCUUCUCCUGCACAAUUCCUCUUUUCUUCCCCAAGUGAAAGAGCUGCCUGAGGGCUGUGGGGAUCACCUGGCUGUGGGCAUGAGCCCGGGGAUAUUUUGGGCAGGGGCAUGCGAGGGCUGGGUGCGUGCUGUUUGCCUGGGAGAUGUAUCGGGGCACUGUAGCUCCGCGAGGACCUUGCCAUGUUACACAGCAGCUUUGUGGCUGAGCAAAAAUAAAUGAGUGACUUAUCCCACUGCCAAGGACCGUCAGUGGGAGGUCAGUGUUUGAUAUUUCCACACCCAAAAAAGCAGCCCCAAGCUAGAAUUACAGUACAAAAUACCCAUUCAGACCUCUCCAGCCUUCUGUUUUCAUUGACUUCCAUCCCCUGCUUGUACACACAGAGUCCCUUCCUUUCCAAAAGAAAACAGUACCGCUGAUAAGGGACACUUAUCUCAGCAAGUCAUUACAGAACAAGCAAGCUUUUGUGUUUGCAUCUGAUUCCUGCUGCGAUGUUAACAAACUCCUCGUAUGGAAGCUUUAUUUUCCACUCUAAAGAUGGCCCUUAGGGUAAUAUGCGAGGUGCAUUAUAUA
Molecule: non-coding RNA, 1756 nt
Organism: Anas platyrhynchos (mallard)
Lineage: Eukaryota; Metazoa; Chordata; Aves; Anseriformes; Anatidae
Source: RefSeq, a predicted model, not a curated record